Molecule: ribosomal RNA, 464 nt
Filed under: uncultured bacterium
Lineage: Bacteria
Description: partial 16S ribosomal RNA
Rfam family: Bacterial small subunit ribosomal RNA
Source: RNAcentral
CUACGGGGGGCAGCAGCUAAGAAUCUUCCGCAAUGGACGCAAGUCUGACGGAGCGACGCCGCGUGUGCGAAGAAUGUCGAGAGAUUGUAAAGCACUUUUAUAUGUGAGGAAUAACCGCAUCAGGAAAUGGUUGUGGGAUGACGUUAGCAUAUGAAUAAGCUCCGGCCAAUUACGUGCCAGCAGCCGCGGUAACACGUAAGGAGCGAGCGUUGUUCGGAAUUAUUGGGCGUAAAGGGCAUGUAGGCGGUUUUGUAAGUCUGAUGUGAAAGCGUGCAGCUUAACUGCAUUGUUGCGUUGGAAACUGCGAAACUUGAAUCCGGGAGGGGUAAGUGGAAUUCCUAGUGUAGGGGUGAAAUCUGUUGAUAUUAGGAAGAACACCAGAGGCGAAGGCGACUUGCUGGCUCUGGAUUGACGCUGAGGUGCGAAAGCUUAGGUAGCGAACAGGAUUAGAUACCCCAGUAGUC